UUACUGCAUAUGGCUAAAUGUCAGGAGCCAGCUUAGCCUUAUACAAGCGCCAUCUUAAGUUUACAUACGUCUUCUUCCUCCUCCUUGCACAAAGAAAGCGCGCGCAAAGCCUGUAACACCCCUCCCACUCCCUCUUCUCAUAUCACAUCACCACCCUUCCUCCUAUCAGCAGCUGCCACAAGUGUUAUUCCUACCCUCCCCCGUUACAGCGCAUAUAAGCAGCCAUCCAGCAAUAAAAUUUUGAGGCUUGAUCAGAAUUUUGUCUUGCCUCCAUUCUGUGUGUCUCCUGUCUCUUUUCCCUCACCAGCAGCAGGUAGUCCUCCUCGCGCCCCUGCGUUGUAUGCCCCGCUGGUCGGGACAUAAACUGGCGCCCAACGUGGGGCACGAGGCACGGAACGGCGCUGUUGGCACCUACUCGGAAGACGCCCCGGCCGGGCACCCCCUGAGCCCCUGAGCUCGCUUCGAGCCCGUGGGCUAUCAACCCACGGGAUAAGACUCGACCCUGAUCGUCGCUGGAUUGGCCGCCCCAGCGAACAUCGAAACGGCAAUGAAGCUCUGCCUCUUUAUCCUCCUCAUAUGCUCCUCCUGCACGUACGCCAGCUUCGGGCCCCCGAUAGAUCCGCAGGAAUUCCUGAUUAGGCUCUAUGGAAACCCCUGUGACUGCCGUGGAGGAGACGGGUAUGAGCACCGGGAUGAGUGCAAAACAAAGUAUUGCAAGAAAGGGAGGAGAUGUCAGGAGCCAGCUUAGCCUUAUACAAGCGCCAUCUUAAGUUUACAUACGUCUUCUUCCUCCUCCUUGCACAAAGAAAGCGUGCGCAAAGCCUGUAACACCCCUCCCACUCCCUCUCCUCAUAUCACAUCACCACCCUUCCUCCUAUCAGCAGCUGCCACAAGUGUUAUUCCUACCCUCCCCCGUUACAGCGCAUAUAAGCAGCCAUCCAGCAAUAAAAUUUUGAGGCUUGAUCAGAA
This is a long non-coding RNA of Lemur catta (Ring-tailed lemur), 969 nucleotides long. RefSeq lists it as uncharacterized. The record is from RefSeq and is a predicted model, not a curated record. The transcript has 4 exons. NCBI's taxonomy places the organism in Eukaryota, Metazoa, Chordata, Mammalia, Primates, Lemuridae.